Molecule: ribosomal RNA, 484 nt
Filed under: uncultured bacterium
Lineage: Bacteria
Description: partial 16S ribosomal RNA
Rfam family: Bacterial small subunit ribosomal RNA
Source: RNAcentral
AUUGAACGCUGGCGGAAUGCUUUACACAUGCAAGUCGAGCGGCAGCACGGGGGCAACCCUGGUGGCGAGCGGCGAACGGGUGAGUAAUACAUCGGAACAUGCCCAGUCGUGGGGGAUAACACUUCGAAAGAAGUGCUAAUACCGCAUACGUCCUGAGGGGGAAAGCGGGGGAUCGCAAGACCUCGCGCGAUUGGAGUGGCCGAUGUCAGAUUAGCUAGUUGGUGGGGUAAAGGCCUACCAAGGCAACGAUCUGUAGCUGGUCUGAGAGGAUGAUCAGCCACACUGGGACUGAGACACGGCCCAGACUCCUACGGGAGGCAGCAGUGGGGAAUUUUGGACAAUGGGGGCAACCCCGAUCCAGCCAUUCCGCGUGAGUGAAGAAGGCCUUCGGGUCGUAAAGCUCUUUCGGCAGGAACGAAACGGUGAGCUCUAACAUAGCUUGCUAAUGACGGUACCUGAAGAAGAAGCACCGGCUAACUACGUG